UACGUAGGGUGCGAGCGUUAAUCGGAAUUACUGGGCGUAAAGCGUGCGCAGGCGGUUUUGUAAGUCAGGUGUGAAAUCCCCGGGCUUAACCUGGGAACUGCAUUUGUGACUGCAUAGCUAGAGUACGGUAGAGGGGGAUGGAAUUCCGCGUGUAGCAGUGAAAUGCGUAGAUAUGCGGAGGAACACCGAUGGCGAAGGCAGUCCCCUGGGCCUGUACUGACGCUCAUGCACGAAAGCGUGGGGAGCAAACAGG
RNAcentral lists this ribosomal RNA (253 nucleotides) under uncultured bacterium. Its description in RNAcentral is "partial 16S ribosomal RNA". It matches the Rfam family "Bacterial small subunit ribosomal RNA", at positions 524 to 776 of the family's 1533-position model. The record is from RNAcentral.